GGCCCCUUUCUUUUCUCUCUCUCUUUUUUUCUUUCUUCUCUCUUUUUCUCUCUCUCUCUGUGGCUGGAACCCCCACCCUCAGGCAGCUCGGCGACGGGGACGACGACACCCCUCUCUCUCCGACUUCCGUCCUUCUUCGGUGACACCCCUCUCUUUCUCUUCCGCAGCCACACAUAUGUUGUGGAAUCUAUGAAGCCAUUUUUUCAUGAGCAGUGGGAUUCCUGGAGAGAGAUACCAUACCAGAUCAGAGUGAAUAUGUGGCAUCAAUUCAAGACUCAAUGUGUAUGGCAACCUCAGUAUGAAAUUCAGGUGAAUGCUAAUUUUGAGAAGAGAGAUUUAUAAAGGAUUAAAGAUACUCAUUUUGUUACUCGGAGCGGUAGCAACAAGCCCAAUUGGUUGUGUCAAGAUGUCUGGCUUCAACUUUGGAGAAGUUGAAUACCGAUGAAUGGAAGCAUAAGAGUGAACAAGGAAAGGCUCUGUUCGCCUCCAGUAAAGGUGGUUCGUUGCACACUGGAGGUUCAAUUAGGUUUGCGGCCCAUUGAUUGAGAUUGGAAAAGACACAUGGGAGAAAUGUGUCUCAUACUCAUGUCUUUGAGGAGACACUUAAGAAGAAGAAGGAGGAGGAGGAGGAGGAUGGUACAAAUAAAGGAUGAGUCGGACAGCGUGCAUCAGAGACAUAUGAAGGACAUCAAAGAAGAUUGGAGGAAUGGCAACAAACUCAGCCUGAUUCCCAACCGUCGCCCAAAGAUAUGACUUCAAUAUGAACACAUGCAGCUGAUGGAGUAAAUAAAGGUAGAGUCUACGGGUUUGGAAUACAGCAAUCCUCCACUCGUCCAGCUGCAUUAUUCAGUGGUGCUUCUGCUUCACCCAAAGAAAUUGAGACUACGUGGACACAAACUAAUGAAUUGGCGCAACAACGGAACACUGCUCAAGAAACAAUAAGUAUGAUGCGAACAUUUAUGGAAAAGUAUGGCAACCAACGUACAUUUGAGGAAUCUAACAAUGAGGAGAUUGAAACUGAUAAGGAAUAGUAUUUGGAAUGUGUAAUAUGGUAUUUAGACUUGAUUGGUUUUGACUUGGUUGGUUUUAAGACUUGGUUGUGAAUGUGUUUUGCAUAAUAUGUUUUCGACUUGAAUAUCAUUUGGUUGAAACGUUUGGACUUUAAUGUGGUUUAAUAGAAUUGUUUACACUUGUUUGAA
Non-coding RNA from Nicotiana tabacum (common tobacco), 1199 nucleotides. Lineage: Eukaryota; Viridiplantae; Streptophyta; Magnoliopsida; Solanales; Solanaceae. The record is from RefSeq and is a predicted model, not a curated record.